This 77-nucleotide transfer RNA is filed under the name Escherichia coli. RNAcentral describes it as "tRNA-Met". It matches the Rfam family "tRNA". From Rfam's summary of the family: Transfer RNA (tRNA) molecules are approximately 80 nucleotides in length. Their secondary structure includes four short double-helical elements and three loops (D, anti-codon, and T loops). Further hydrogen bonds mediate the characteristic L-shaped molecular structure. tRNAs have two regions of fundamental functional importance: the anti-codon, which is responsible for specific mRNA codon recognition, and the 3' end, to which the tRNAs corresponding amino acid is attached (by aminoacyl-tRNA synthetases). tRNAs cope with the degeneracy of the genetic code in two manners: having more than one tRNA (with a specific anti-codon) for a particular amino acid; and 'wobble' base-pairing, i.e. permitting non-standard base-pairing at the 3rd anti-codon position. The record is from RNAcentral. Lineage: Bacteria; Pseudomonadati; Pseudomonadota; Gammaproteobacteria; Enterobacterales; Enterobacteriaceae.
GUUUUCGUAGCUCAGUUGGUUAGAGCACAUCACUCAUAAUGAUGGGGUCACAGGUUCGAAUCCCGUCGUAGCCACCA